UGAUUUUAGUUAUUCUGACAAGUGUGAAGUGAUAUCUCAUUUUACUUUUGAUUUAUUUUUCCCUGAUGAUGAGUGAUGCUGUGCAUCUUUUCAUAGUUCUGUUGGUCUGUAUGUCUUCUUUGGAAAAAUGUCUAUUCGUGUCUUCUGCCCAUUUUU
Prionailurus viverrinus (fishing cat) is the source of this 156-nucleotide long non-coding RNA. RefSeq lists it as uncharacterized. The transcript is spliced from 3 exons. The record is from RefSeq and is a predicted model, not a curated record. Lineage: Eukaryota; Metazoa; Chordata; Mammalia; Carnivora; Felidae.